CUCAGGAAAGUGUUGAAGGAUCCACCAUAUUUCUUCAUAGCUUGUUCCAGUGAUUAAGCAGCUGUGCUUUUACAAGUGUCAUCUUGUUUUAAAUUUGAAUUUGUCUGACUUCUAUUUUUGUCUGCUCUUUAUGUCCCUUUUCCUCUUGAAGCUUUUUUUUCAGUGCCAGGUUGGAUGGAGCUUUGAGCAACCUGGUCUUGAGGAAGAUGUCCCUGCACAUGGCAGGGGGUUGGAACUGGAUGAGCUUUAAGGUGCUUUCCAACCCCAAUCAUUCUAUGAUUCUGCGCCUUUCUCUGUUAAAGUGCCCUAUGUUUCCUGUUUUCUCCCUGAGGAGGUUCUGACGCAUCACAACCCAUAUCUUCUAUCAACUUUCCUUUUAGCUUGUUUACAAAAAGAAAAAGCUGAAUCAGCUGCUAGAGUGUGUAUGUAGGGCUACCAUCUAAAAGAAGUAGUUGCCCACAGCUGAGAUGGAAUCUCAAAUGUUUACUAAUCAGGCAACAAGCCUUCCGCAUUUCUGUGUCUGAAUACCUCAAGUCUGGCCCUCUCCCACCACAAUGAAAGAA
Molecule: long non-coding RNA, 563 nt
Organism: Pezoporus occidentalis (night parrot)
Lineage: Eukaryota; Metazoa; Chordata; Aves; Psittaciformes; Psittacidae
Exons: 3
Source: RefSeq, a predicted model, not a curated record